RNAcentral lists this ribosomal RNA (809 nucleotides) under uncultured marine microorganism. Its description in RNAcentral is "bacterial SSU rRNA". It matches the Rfam family "Bacterial small subunit ribosomal RNA", at positions 8 to 864 of the family's 1533-position model. The record is from RNAcentral.
AGAGUUUGAUCAUGGCUCAGAACGAACGCUGGCGGCAGGCCUAACACAUGCAAGUCGAGCGCACUCUUCGGAGUGAGCGGCGGACGGGUUAGUAACGCGUGGGAACGUGCCCAGAUCUAAGGAAUAGCCACUGGAAACGGUGAGUAAUACCUUAUACGCCCUUCGGGGGAAAGAUUUAUCGGAUUUGGAUCGGCCCGCGUUAGAUUAGAUAGUUGGUGGGGUAACGGCCUACCAAGUCUACGAUCUAUAGCUGGUUUUAGAGGAUGAUCAGCAACACUGGGACUGAGACACGGCCCAGACUCCUACGGGAGGCAGCAGUGGGGAAUCUUGGACAAUGGGGGCAACCCUGAUCCAGCCAUGCCGCGUGAGUGAUGAAGGCCUUAGGGUCGUAAAGCUCUUUCGCCAGGGAUGAUAAUGACAGUACCUGGUAAAGAAACCCCGGCUAACUCCGUGCCAGCAGCCGCGGUAAUACGGAGGGGGUUAGCGUUGUUCGGAAUUACUGGGCGUAAAGCGCGCGUAGGCGGACCAGAAAGUUGGGGGUGAAAUCCCGGGGCUCAACCCCGGAACUGCCUCCAAAACUCCUGGUCUUGAGUUCGAGAGAGGUGAGUGGAAUUCCGAGUGUAGAGGUGAAAUUCGUAGAUAUUCGGAGGAACACCAGUGGCGAAGGCGGCUCACUGGCUCGAUACUGACGCUGAGGUGCGAAAGUGUGGGGAGCAAACAGGAUUAAAUACCCUGGUAGUCCACACCGUANACGAUGAAUGCCAGUCGUCGGGCAGCAUGCUAUUCGGUGACACACCUAACGGAUUAAG